This 253-nucleotide ribosomal RNA is filed under the name uncultured bacterium. RNAcentral describes it as "partial 16S ribosomal RNA". It matches the Rfam family "Bacterial small subunit ribosomal RNA", at positions 524 to 776 of the family's 1533-position model. The record is from RNAcentral.
UACGAAGGGGGCUAGCGUUGCUCGGAAUCACUGGGCGUAAAGCGCACGUAGGCGGGUUGCUAAGUCAGGGGUGAAAUCCUGGAGCUCAACUCCAGAACUGCCCUUGAUACUGGCGAUCUCGAGUCCGGGAGAGGUGAGUGGAACUGCGAGUGUAGAGGUGAAAUUCGUAGAUAUUCGCAAGAACACCAGUGGCGAAGGCGGCUCACUGGCCCGGUACUGACGCUGAGGUGCGAAAGCGUGGGGAGCAAACAGG